Molecule: non-coding RNA, 46 nt
Organism: Phalacrocorax carbo (great cormorant)
Lineage: Eukaryota; Metazoa; Chordata; Aves; Suliformes; Phalacrocoracidae
Source: Rfam
GUAAAGGCUCUUUUCAGAGCCUUUCAGACUUUCUAGAAAGCAGUGU